CAGACACAUCAGCGAUGGAUGUUCUAUAGCCUUCUCAACAGCACCACCCAUUGAGGACCAAGAGAUCAUUUUUAUUGCCCAGUUGAAUAAAGUGAAGGUCACAGAGAGCAAGUAGCUUAUCCAAGUCACACAGAUCUGAGAGUAGUCAAAUGCUUGGAAUUGACCUGGGUUGUUUGCAAGAGAAACCAAUGCUCUUGAUUGCUGAGCAAUUUCUCCAGCCCCAGAUUCUAAACGGGAAGGAAGAUGAUACAGCAAUGUGCAUGUUAUUAUCAAAAAAGAAGAAGAGGAAGUACAUACAGACAUGUACAAUCAGAAGCCGGACUAGUUAACUCCCAUACCUCACCCUUAUACUUGCUCUGUUGGACAUUUUAAGGUCAGGUCGUAAAAGAAGUCAAGAAUGGCAUAUGUUGUGAUGACUUCAGUUCUUAACUGAUAUCUGGAAUGUUCUCUAAAACAAUAUUCAAAGCAAAACAAAAGCCAAGCCUAGAGACUAGAAGCAUGUGCUAUAAUAUUAAGAAAUAAACACUUAAAA
Molecule: long non-coding RNA, 532 nt
Organism: Mus caroli (Ryukyu mouse)
Lineage: Eukaryota; Metazoa; Chordata; Mammalia; Rodentia; Muridae
Source: RefSeq, a predicted model, not a curated record